Molecule: long non-coding RNA, 1371 nt
Filed under: Homo sapiens (human)
Lineage: Eukaryota; Metazoa; Chordata; Mammalia; Primates; Hominidae
Description: HSALNT0384401
Source: RNAcentral
AGCUCCCCUGGAGCUUCAUUCAUUGAGGCAACCCAAGAUCCCUUGCUAAAAGCAAAACUAAAGCAUUCCACGCCGUUUUCAUUCAGGUGGCCUCCAUUUGACUCCCGACAGCCUGAACUCGUCACGUAGGUAAGAAAACUUUUUAAAGACCAUUUGGACUUUGCUUUGUUUCAGUGAAAUGGGUCGUGAGAAAAAGUGCCUUCCAACGACCAACUCCCUAAAUCCAACACCCUUCUCUUUACAGCGUCUUCACAUCCAACCUUUACAACCAAGACUCUAUACCUCAAACUACAGUGCCUUGGAAAAUUACUGCCACAUCGGCAGAAAACCGAGUUACCUUUCGAGUCAGGUUUGAUUCUGAUGCAGGCAGCCAUGUGCGGCAGGGCUUUCGCACGGUUGCAAGCGCACACCUGGCCGGAUGCUGGCUGCACCACACACUGCCAAGUACAAACUCCCCGAAAAACAGGUGGAUUCGGAAACCAACAGCGCCCGGGUCAGAACUCUGGGCCAGUCCAAAACCUGACAACAUCUGCGUUCCUUGCAGGUAUUUUCGAACGUAAGCCCGACGCUAGGCAGUGCUGUUAGAAAGUGAUUUGGAAGAGCGCUUCCGAGCCACGGCGCGCCCUCCGGGGGAGCGCACCGGAGCAGGUGCGGGCGAGCCCCGCGCCCGGGGAGGUCAGGAAUUCCCCAGCCACACCAGAUCCAACCGGACGCCCCAGAACGGGGACGGUCCCCGGAGUCCGCCUCCCAACCUGGAAGCACCUUGAGGAAGAAAUUGUCUUGUCUACAGCUCUAUCCUCAGUACAGCACCAAGCUUACAGUGGAUGCUCAGUGAAGAUUUGCCGAUUUGCCGAAUGAAUGCUUUCACCCCUGCAACUGUUUACUGCCUGCUAGGAGCUCAGAGCCUCUGGGAUACAGGCUGGGAAUGACAGUGCCUGCUCGCUUGGAAGGCCUCUCUUCUGGAGUCAAUAAAACAGCACUUCUUUGCUUCUUCCUGGCUGGUCCACAUCUUUCACUGAGGAGUGGAUAGUGGAGGGAGAGUUCAUUUCUAGGGCACCACAGCUAUGAGAAAAGCAAGACCAGUGCCCUUGGAGGCCCACUAAAAAGGCCCCCACUGGAUUAUUCCAGCAGGCUCGGCUGGCCUGUUUUCUUCCUCCCCUGGUAGAAUUGUGCCUGCAUUGGCUAUAAAGUCCAUUUGCACACAGAAGGGGUGUGUGUGGAAGGACUCUGCAGAAGUGAAUCCGCUGAGUAAUGCCUGCUUCCUCAGAGGGUGAAUGCCAAGAUGCCUCCAAAGGACAUGAAGGGCUCUGAAGGGGAAGAUGACUGAGGGCACCAUUUUUGAUCACUGCCAAUUAAAAAAAAAAAAAUUCA